AACGAACGCUGGCGGCAUGCCUAACACAUGCAAGUCGAACGAGACCUUCGGGUCUAGUGGCGCACGGGUGCGUAACGCGUGGGAACCUGCCCUUAGGUUCGGAAUAACUCCCCGAAAGGGGUGCUAAUACCGGAUAAUGUCUUCGGACCAAAGAUUUAUCGCCUUUGGAUGGGCCCGCGUUGGAUUAGCUAGUUGGUAGGGUAAAAGCCUACCAAGGCGACGAUCCAUAGCUGGUCUGAGAGGAUGAUCAGCCACACUGGGACUGAGACACGGCCCAGACCCGUAGGGGGGGGAGCAGGGGGGAAAAUGGGAAAAGGGGGGAAAGCCUGACCCCGCAAGGCCGGGGGGGUGAGUAAGGCCUUAGGGUUUUAAAGCCCUUUUACCCGGGAUGAUAAUGACAGUACCGGGAAAAAAAGCCCCGGCUAACUCCGU
Molecule: ribosomal RNA, 432 nt
Filed under: uncultured bacterium
Lineage: Bacteria
Description: partial 16S ribosomal RNA
Rfam family: Bacterial small subunit ribosomal RNA
Source: RNAcentral